Molecule: long non-coding RNA, 1072 nt
Organism: Oryzias melastigma (Indian medaka)
Lineage: Eukaryota; Metazoa; Chordata; Actinopteri; Beloniformes; Adrianichthyidae
Exons: 2
Source: RefSeq, a predicted model, not a curated record
AUUCAAAAGUGAAAACAUCUAUUCAUUAAAAAUGCUAAAGAACGUAAUUGUAAAAGAAAUAUAAAUCCAUAAAAUAUUCAAAAUGUAAUAGAAUAAAACCAUAAAUGCUUUAAAAAAAUAAAAUUCCGAGAGUUUCCAUGUGGUGCUCAGUCAGGGAGUUGUUCUAUAGAUCCGCAACACUUCUCUGUUUGACAUGUUCUGCACGAAUUAAGAAAGAAAAAAAAAAAUAAGUGUUUCAUCUUAAUAACCGGACGUUUGAGACACUGAUGACCAUCCGUCCCAUCAGUGUGGAUGUUCUUGAAGAAGUUUGACCUGUGAGGAUCCGGUUUGUGUGUUUCCCCCUGUCCCUCCCCAGGCGGAUCCGUGCGGAGAGAAGGAGUUGAGGUUUGGUUGGUUCUGCUGGCUUCACGCAGGUUUACGUGCGGGGAAUCUGAAAGCUGUUCAAAAAACAUCCACCUUGAAUUUUUCAGACGGCGACCACGCAGAGUUGAAGCUCCUUCUCGCAGGGAGAAAUCGUGGCAGCACAGCCUAAUAAUAGCAGAACGAUGCUAAUCAAGAAGACACGAGUCUGUGCAUGACAGCAGGAUCACUGGAACAGUGGGAUUCUCUCGUCUCCAGGAAGCAGCAGAACAGGAAGGUGUCCUUGUUGAAAGUCAAACAUCCAUCCAUCAAUCCACGCAGAAGCAGCUGCAGGCUGCUGCUCUCAUACGGAGCUGUCAAUUAAGAAGGAUUUAGCGAGAUGAGGCCGAGCUGAGAUGAAAAAAACAUAAAUCUUCACUGCAGAGCUUCGACUUCUGUUUAUUUAGUGUUCACCGUCUGAAAGAUCAUCUAUUAGCUGCAUUUAUUUUAUCGUCAAUGGAGAGAUCCCAGACUGACCAAAUAUGACCUUAAACUAAUAACUAGAUUAACUAGAUUUUUUAGACAUCCACAAAAUGUCAUUUUUUUCCCAAUAAAUACUUAAGAUAGACUGAAAUGAAGUGUGAAAUGGCAAUGAGUAAGCUUUAGACGAGGGAUUACAUUUCAUCAGAUUACAUUUAACUAAAAAAAAUAAUUUAAAGAGAAAACAAGUCAA